Molecule: ribosomal RNA, 320 nt
Filed under: uncultured eukaryote
Lineage: Eukaryota
Description: partial 18S ribosomal RNA
Rfam family: Eukaryotic small subunit ribosomal RNA
Source: RNAcentral
CCCUUAGAUGUUCUGGGCCGCACGCGCGCUACACUGACUACUUCAACGAGUUGUUUCCUUGAUCGAAAGGUCUGGGUAAUCUUUGAAAGGUAGUCGUGAUGGGGAUAGAUCCUUGCAAUUUUUGAUCUUCAACGAGGAAUUCCUAGUAAACGCAAGUCAUCAGCUUGCAUUGAUUACGUCCCUGCCCUUUGUACACACCGCCCGUCGCACCUACCGAUUGAAUGGUCCGGUGAAAUCUCGGGACGGCGGCUUGGUCGCUUGCGUCCGACUGCUGAAACUUGAUUAAACCAUAUCAUUUAGAGGAAGGUGAANUCGUAACA